Long non-coding RNA from Notothenia coriiceps (black rockcod), 257 nucleotides. RefSeq lists it as uncharacterized. NCBI's taxonomy places the organism in Eukaryota, Metazoa, Chordata, Actinopteri, Perciformes, Nototheniidae. The transcript is spliced from 3 exons. The record is from RefSeq and is a predicted model, not a curated record.
CCAUCAUGGCACAGAUCUGUGUGAUUCUGCUGAGCCUCCUGCUUUUGUAUGACGUGUUCUUCGUCUUCAUCACUCCUUUCUUCACAAAGAAUGGAGUGAGCAUCAUGGUGCAGGUGGCUCUGGGCCCGGAUGCAUCGGGAGAGAAGACGCAAGGUAACAUGGUGGAGGUCCCGGCUGAACCCCAGGCUCCCUCUGAGAAAGUAAGGCUUGAUUUGUUCACCACCCACUUCUUCUCUUAAAGCCACACCAUGAGGUGG